This 468-nucleotide ribosomal RNA is filed under the name uncultured bacterium. Its description in RNAcentral is "partial 16S ribosomal RNA". It matches the Rfam family "Bacterial small subunit ribosomal RNA", at positions 28 to 507 of the family's 1533-position model. The record is from RNAcentral.
GACGAACGCUGGCGGCGUGCCUAACACAUGCAAGUCGAACGGAAAGUCCCUGCUUUUGUGCGGUGCUCUAGUUGCGAACUGGUGAGUUACACUUGAGUUACCUGUCCUUGCCUUUGGGAUAACUUCAUGAAACUUGGUCUCUUCCCGCAUAGGAUCUCUUGCUUCUUGGUGGGGGUUGGAUAGUUUCGGCGGUUGGUGAUGGACUCGCGGCGUAUCAGCUUGUUGGUGGGGUAGUGGCUUACCAAGGCUAUGACGGGUAGCCGGCCUGGGCGGGUAACCGGCCACAUUAGGACUGAGAUACGGCACAGACUGGAAUGGGAGGCAGCGGUGGAGAGUAGUACACAAUGGGCGGAAGGAUGAUGCAACAAAGCCGCGUGCGGGAAGAGGGGCUUCGGGUUGUGAACCGAUGUCGCCUGAGGCGAGGCGAGAGUGACGGUAAUGGGUAAAGAAGCACCGGCUAACUACGUG